This 90-nucleotide transfer RNA is filed under the name Vulcanimicrobiota bacterium. Its description in RNAcentral is "tRNA-Ser". It matches the Rfam family "tRNA". From Rfam's summary of the family: Transfer RNA (tRNA) molecules are approximately 80 nucleotides in length. Their secondary structure includes four short double-helical elements and three loops (D, anti-codon, and T loops). Further hydrogen bonds mediate the characteristic L-shaped molecular structure. tRNAs have two regions of fundamental functional importance: the anti-codon, which is responsible for specific mRNA codon recognition, and the 3' end, to which the tRNAs corresponding amino acid is attached (by aminoacyl-tRNA synthetases). tRNAs cope with the degeneracy of the genetic code in two manners: having more than one tRNA (with a specific anti-codon) for a particular amino acid; and 'wobble' base-pairing, i.e. permitting non-standard base-pairing at the 3rd anti-codon position. The record is from RNAcentral. Lineage: Bacteria; Bacillati; Vulcanimicrobiota.
GGAGAGAUGGCAGAGCGGUUGAAUGCGGCGGUCUUGAAAACCGCUGAGCCUUUGCGGGCUUCGUGGGUUCGAAUCCCACUCUCUCCUCCA